RNAcentral lists this ribosomal RNA (1372 nucleotides) under uncultured bacterium. RNAcentral's name for it is "bacterial SSU rRNA". It matches the Rfam family "Bacterial small subunit ribosomal RNA", at positions 28 to 1381 of the family's 1533-position model. The record is from RNAcentral.
GAUGAACGCUGGCGGCGUGCCUAAUACAUGCAAGUCGAGCGAACGGACGAGAAGCUUGCUUCUCUGAUGUUAGCGGCGGACGGGUGAGUAACACGUGGAUAACCUACCUAUAAGACUGGGAUAACUUCGGGAAACCGGAGCUAAUACCGGAUAAUAUUUUGAACCGCAUGGUUCAAAAGUGAAAGACGGUCUUGCUGUCACUUAUAGAUGGAUCCGCGCUGCAUUAGCUAGUUGGUAAGGUAACGGCUUACCAAGGCAACGAUGCAUAGCCGACCUGAGAGGGUGAUCGGCCACACUGGAACUGAGACACGGUCCAGACUCCUACGGGAGGCAGCAGUAGGGAAUCUUCCGCAAUGGGCGAAAGCCUGACGGAGCAACGCCGCGUGAGUGAUGAAGGUCUUCGGAUCGUAAAACUCUGUUAUUAGGGAAGAACAUAUGUGUAAGUAACUGUGCACAUCUUGACGGUACCUAAUCAGAAAGCCACGGCUAACUACGUGCCAGCAGCCGCGGUAAUACGUAGGUGGCAAGCGUUAUCCGGAAUUAUUGGGCGUAAAGCGCGCGUAGGCGGUUUUUUAAGUCUGAUGUGAAAGCCCACGGCUCAACCGUGGAGGGUCAUUGGAAACUGGAAAACUUGAGUGCAGAAGAGGAAAGUGAAAUUCCAUGUGUAGCGGUGAAAUGCGCAGAGAUAUGGAGGAACACCAGUGGCGAAGGCGACUUUCUGGUCUGUAACUGACGCUGAUGUGCGAAAGCGUGGGGAUCAAACAGGAUUAGAUACCCUGGUAGUCCACGCCGUAAACGAUGAGUGCUAAGUGUUAGGGGGUUUCCGCCCCUUAGUGCUGCAGCUAACGCAUUAAGCACUCCGCCUGGGGAGUACGACCGCAAGGUUGAAACUCAAAGGAAUUGACGGGGACCCGCACAAGCGGUGGAGCAUGUGGUUUAAUUCGAAGCAACGCGAAGAACCUUACCAAAUCUUGACAUCCUUUGACAACUCUAGAGAUAGAGCUUUCCCCUUCGGGGGACAAAGUGACAGGUGGUGCAUGGUUGUCGUCAGCUCGUGUCGUGAGAUGUUGGGUUAAGUCCCGCAACGAGCGCAACCCUUAAGCUUAGUUGCCAUCAUUAAGUUGGGCACUCUAAGUUGACUGCCGGUGACAAACCGGAGGAAGGUGGGGAUGACGUCAAAUCAUCAUGCCCCUUAUGAUUUGGGCUACACACGUGCUACAAUGGACAAUACAAAGGGCAGCGAAACCGUGAGGUCAAGCAAAUCCCAUAAAGUUGUUCUCAGUUCGGAUUGUAGUCUGCAACUCGACUACAUGAAGCUGGAAUCGCUAGUAAUCGUAGAUCAGCAUGCUACGGUGAAUACGUUCCCGGGUCU